Molecule: ribosomal RNA, 213 nt
Filed under: uncultured Pseudomonas sp.
Lineage: Bacteria; Pseudomonadati; Pseudomonadota; Gammaproteobacteria; Pseudomonadales; Pseudomonadaceae
Description: partial 16S ribosomal RNA
Rfam family: Bacterial small subunit ribosomal RNA
Source: RNAcentral
GGUGGGGAUGACGUCAAGUCAUCAUGGCCCUUACGGCCAGGGCUACACACGUGCUACAAUGGUCGGUACAAAGGGUUGCCAAGCCGCGAGGUGGAGCUAAUCCCAUAAAACCGAUCGUAGUCCGGAUCGCAGUCUGCAACUCGACUGCGUGAAGUCGGAAUCGCUAGUAAUCGUGAAUCAGAAUGUCCACGGUCGAAUACGUUCCCGGGCCUU